GCCGGCGUGGUGAAAUGGCAGACACGGUAGACUCAAAAUCUACUGAUCGCGAGAUCGUAUCGGUUCAAGUCCGAUCGCCGGCA
This is a transfer RNA of 83 nucleotides. It matches the Rfam family "tRNA". From Rfam's summary of the family: Transfer RNA (tRNA) molecules are approximately 80 nucleotides in length. Their secondary structure includes four short double-helical elements and three loops (D, anti-codon, and T loops). The record is from Rfam.